GGACUACCGGGGUAUCUAAUCCCGUUUGCUCCCCUGGCUUUCGUGCCUCAGCGUCAGGAAAUGUCUAGAGACUCGCCUUCGCCACUGGUGUUCCACUUGAUAUCUACGCAUUUCACUGCUACACCAAGUAUUCCAGUCUCCCCUCCAUUCCUCGAGCAGGAUAGUAUCCGAUGCAGUUUCCGAGUUAGGCUCGGAGAUUUCACAUCAGACUUACCCUACCGCCUACGCACCCUUUACGCCCAGUGAAUCCGAACAACGCUUGGGACCUCUGUAUUACCGCGGCGGCUGGCAC
This 292-nucleotide ribosomal RNA is filed under the name uncultured bacterium. RNAcentral describes it as "partial 16S ribosomal RNA". The record is from RNAcentral. RNAcentral also lists the same sequence under 1 other name.